AUUUCUAGCGUAGAAAAACGGGCCAAAGAGUCUAAAAGCAGAGAGAGUGCGCAUUUCUAGCACAGAAAAACGGGCCAAAGAGUCUAAAAGCGGAGAGAGUGCGCAUUUCUAGCACAGAAAAACGGGCCAAAGAGUCUAAAAGCGGAGUGGGUGCGCAGUUGUAGCGCAGAAAAACGGGCCAAACUGUCUAAAAGUUGCCGUAAUUAAGGAGUUGAAUAUUAAGAGACAUCAUGAAAUUAAAAAUCAAUUUGAAAAAUCUUAGUUUACACAACACUGUCAAAGAUAAAGAUAGUUAGUCAAGUAAAAUGGUGUGUAAAUGAAAUAAUCAGGAAAAAAGUAUUAUUUAAAGCGGUAUAUUUUAUUAUUUGUUUUAUUACAGAGUCUGUGGCCCGUGACUUCAAAUGUAUUUCUCCUUUUGGCCCCCAACAAAAAAAGUUUGGACACCCCUGAUUUAAACAAUCACAAGAUAACCAACCACAAACUAGCCAAUUAUGGAAUAACCAGUCAAGUUAAUCAAUAGGCAACCACCCAUAGUAGAUUCACAAGUCAAACGCCAAUAAAUCACCUAAUAAUGUGUUUUUUUAUCCACCAAAAUGAUAGAUUUUGAUUCCUAGGGUCUUGUUCUGAAGUACUAUUCUACUGAUUGUAGUGCUGUAGUUUAAGUGGCUGUUCCAUUCUGGCACUAAGUGUCUUUUCCUUCCCCCUCCACGUUAUUCCACUUUAUUGUUGGCUUUAUUGCUUUAUUGCUGCUUCACUGGACUGGGUGUAUCUCUGCAGAGUUUUAUUCUGGAAGAAUCACUUUUAUUAGACUGUUCUGGGUCUUUUCUCCAAAUCAUUAUUCUGUGGUUAAUGUGUUUUUGGAUUAUGCCUUUAGGCUCAGUGUUUAAUAAAUGUUUUAUCUGUAAUUGGGCCAGCUGUUCCUGUUUUGUUAUUAUAUCUAAAACUACAGGACUGCGUGUGAUCAGACUGAGAUACAGACGCCACUGAUCUGGGUUUGGCAACUACAGUGCAGAAGGAGGGAGACCAGGAUGUGAAAUAUCGUCCCCUGCUGACGACCAUGAGGAAAACAUCACAUCUAAUGAAAGCUGGAGGAUGGUGUUACUGAUAUGCCUGAAUGAAUAAAUAAAUGAAAACGUGA
This is a long non-coding RNA of Astyanax mexicanus (Mexican tetra), 1138 nucleotides long. RefSeq lists it as uncharacterized. The transcript has 2 exons. NCBI's taxonomy places the organism in Eukaryota, Metazoa, Chordata, Actinopteri, Characiformes, Acestrorhamphidae. The record is from RefSeq and is a predicted model, not a curated record.